This 253-nucleotide ribosomal RNA is filed under the name uncultured bacterium. Its description in RNAcentral is "partial 16S ribosomal RNA". It matches the Rfam family "Bacterial small subunit ribosomal RNA", at positions 524 to 776 of the family's 1533-position model. The record is from RNAcentral.
UACAGAGGUCCCAAGCGUUGUUCGGAUUCAUUGGGCGUAAAGGGUGCGUAGGCGGCGCGGUAAGUCGGGUGUGAAAUCUCGGGGCUUAACUCCGAAACUGCAUUCGAUACUGCCGUGCUUGAGGACUGGAGAGGAGACUGGAAUUUACGGUGUAGCGGUGAAAUGCGUAGAUAUCGUAAGGAAGACCAGUGGCGAAGGCGGGUCUCUGGACAGUUCCUGACGCUGAGGCACGAAGGCCAGGGGAGCGAACAGG